GGAAACGGUGGCUAAUACCGCAUAACGUCGCAAGACCAAAGAGGGGGACCUUCGGGCCUCUUGCCAUCAGAUGUGCCCAGAUGGGAUUAGCUUGUUGGUGAGGUAACGGCUCACCAAGGCGACGAUCCCUAGCUGGUCUGAGAGGAUGACCAGCCACACUGGAACUGAGACACGGUCCAGACUCCUACGGGAGGCAGCAGUGGGGAAUAUUGCACAAUGGGCGCAAGCCUGAUGCAGCCAUGCCGCGUGUAUGAAGAAGGCCUUCGGGUUGUAAAGUACUUUCAGCGGGGAGGAAGGUGUUGUGGUUAAUAACCGCAGCAAUUGACGUUACCCGCAGAAGAAGCACCGGCUAACUCCGUGCCAGCAGCCGCGGUAAUACGGAGGGUGCAAGCGUUAAUCGGAAUUACUGGGCGUAAAGCGCACGCAGGCGGUCUGUCAAGUCGGAUGUGAAAUCCCCGGGCUCAACCUGGGAACUGCAUUCGAAACUGGCAGGCUUGAGUCUUGUAGAGGGGGGUAGAAUUCCAGGUGUAGCGGUGAAAUGCGUAGAGAUCUGGAGGAAUACCGGUGGCGAAGGCGGCCCCCUGGACAAAGACUGACGCUCAGGUGCGAAAGCGUGGGGAGCAAACAGGAUUAGAUACCCUGGUAGUCCACGCCGUAAACGAUGUCUACUUGGAGGUUGUGCCCUUGAGGCGUGGCUUCCGGAGCUAACGCGUUAAGUAGACCGCCUGGGGAGUACGGCCGCAAGGUUAAAACUCAAAUGAAUUGACGGGGGCCCGCACAAGCGGUGGAGCAUGUGGUUUAAUUCGAUGCAACGCGAAGAACCUUACCUGGUCUUGACAUCCACGGAAGUUUUCAGAGAUGAGAAUGUGCCUUCGGGAACCGUGAGACAGGUGCUGCAUGGCUGUCGUCAGCUCGUGUUGUGAAAUGUUGGGUUAAGUCCCGCAACGAGCGCAACCCUUAUCCUUUGUUGCCAGCGGUUAGGCCGGGAACUCAAAGGAGACUGCCAGUGAUAAACUGGAGGAAGGUGGGGAUGACGUCAAGUCAUCAUGGCCCUUACGACCAGGGCUACACACGUGCUACAAUGGCGCAUACAAAGAGAAGCGACCUCGCGAGAGCAAGCGGACCUCAUAAAGUGCGUCGUAGUCCGGAUUGGAGUCUGCAACUCGACUCCAUGAAGUCGGAAUCGCUAGUAAUCGUGGAUCAGAAUGCCACGGUGAAUACGUUCCCGGGCCUUGUACACACCGCCCGUCACACCAUGGGAGUGGGUUGCAAAAGAAGUAGGUAGCUUAACCUUCGGGAGGGCGCUUACCACUUUGUGAUUCAUGACUGGGGUGAAGUCGUAACAAGGUAACCGUAGGGGAACCUGC
Molecule: ribosomal RNA, 1367 nt
Filed under: Salmonella enterica subsp. enterica
Lineage: Bacteria; Pseudomonadati; Pseudomonadota; Gammaproteobacteria; Enterobacterales; Enterobacteriaceae
Also listed under: 1 other name
Description: bacterial SSU rRNA
Rfam family: Bacterial small subunit ribosomal RNA
Source: RNAcentral